Molecule: long non-coding RNA, 457 nt
Organism: Neogale vison (American mink)
Lineage: Eukaryota; Metazoa; Chordata; Mammalia; Carnivora; Mustelidae
Exons: 3
Source: RefSeq, a predicted model, not a curated record
CAGAGAGCAAGACCCUGGGGUCCCAGAGGGUGAAGCCAGGAAAUGUAAAACAGCAGUCGGCAGACCAAGGGCUCCUGGAAUAGAGCAGCGCUUGCUACCACUGGAUACCCCCUCACUCCUUCAUCUGCAACCCAGUCCGCACCUGCCUGCCCACGAUGAUGCUGCCACAAGACCCCUGGGAGACGCUGACCCAGUGUCGUGAGUGUGGUCUGCCCACGAGUGCUCAGUCCAGCAUGGGGCAGCCGCCCGGGGCUCUUGGGCAAGAGAGCGUGGGAAGACACUGAGCUGGCUACAGAAGGCGUUCAAUAAACGUUAGCCACACGGGUGAACUGCAGGGGGAGGCGGGGCCUCCUCGUGUCCACUAGGCGGCCAAUGGACAUUGCCACCCCUGGACGCUCCCCAGUCCUGAGCGACAUGGGAUCUCUUCCAGCCCGUGGAGGCCUGCACACAGGAGAAA